This 253-nucleotide ribosomal RNA is filed under the name uncultured bacterium. RNAcentral describes it as "partial 16S ribosomal RNA". It matches the Rfam family "Bacterial small subunit ribosomal RNA", at positions 524 to 776 of the family's 1533-position model. The record is from RNAcentral.
UACAGAGGUCUCAAGCGUUGUUCGGAUUCAUUGGGCGUAAAGGGUGUGUAGGCGGCGCCGUAAGUCGGGUGUGAAAUUUCGAGGCUUAACCUCGAAACUGCAUUCGAUACUGCGGUGCUUGAGGACUGGAGAGGAGACUGGAAUUCAUGGUGUAGCAGUGAAAUGCGUAGAUAUCAUGAGGAAGACCAGUGGCGAAGGCGGGUCUCUGGACAGUUCCUGACACUGAGACACGAAGGCCAGGGGAGCAAACGGG